GAUCAUUAGUGAAUGCUGGGAGUCCCUCCUAACCGGAGAAGGCCCAACCCACUACUUUACACACACUUGUGCAUUUGUCCCUUUUUACACACCCUUGUGCAGUGCCAACGGUUGUUGAUAACUUGAUUUUUGAUCAUUGAAAGAAAAACUUUCAGCAAUGGAUCUCUUGGCUUCCGCAUCGAUGAAGAACGCAGCAAAGCGCGAAAUGUAAUGUGAAUUGCAGAAUUCAGUGAAUCAUCGAAUCUUUGAACGCACCUUGCGCUCUCGGGCUAUUCCUGAGAGCACGUUUGUUGGAGUGUCGCGUAACCUCUCAACCCCGCCUUGCUUGCCAAGGUAGGACCCUUUGGGUCACGGGUUGGAUCGUGGGGCCUGUCGCUUGCGCUUGCGCAACGGGACUGCCCUGAAAUACAAGGAGCUGCAUCCAAACGCGCGGCUUGACCUGUUGUCAUAAGUUCAUAACCUUUCAACGGGGACGCGCGUCGGAACGGGCUUACCAUAAACAACCCCAUUUAUUACUUUGACCUCCAAUCAAGCGGGACU
Molecule: ribosomal RNA, 540 nt
Filed under: Chionosphaera cuniculicola
Lineage: Eukaryota; Fungi; Basidiomycota; Agaricostilbomycetes; Agaricostilbales; Chionosphaeraceae
Description: eukaryotic LSU rRNA
Rfam family: 5.8S ribosomal RNA (bases 147-301)
Source: RNAcentral